Molecule: ribosomal RNA, 489 nt
Filed under: uncultured bacterium
Lineage: Bacteria
Description: bacterial SSU rRNA
Rfam family: Bacterial small subunit ribosomal RNA
Source: RNAcentral
GAUGAACGCUAGCGGCAGGCUUAAUACAUGCAAGUCGUGGGGCAGCAGGUUUGUAGCAAUACAGAUGCUGGCGACCGGCAAACGGGUGCGGAACACGUACAGAACCUUCCUUUGAGCGGGGAAUAGCCCAGAGAAAUUUGGAUUAAUACCCCAUAGUAUAAUGAAGUGGCAUCACUUUAUUAUUAAAGAUUUAUCACUCGAAGAUGGCUGUGCGGCUGAUUAGGUAGUUGGCGGGGUAAAGGCCCACCAAGCCUGCGAUCAGUAACUGGUGUGAGAGCACGACCAGUCACACGGGCACUGAGACACGGGCCCGACUCCUACGGGAGGCAGCAGUAGGAUAUUGGUCAAUGGAGGCAACGUCUGAACCAGCCAUGCCGCGUGGAGGAUGAAGGUCCUCUGGAUUGUAAACUUCUUUUAUAUGGGACGAAAAAGGCUUUUCUAAGUCGUCUGACGGUACCAUAUGAAUAAGCACCGGCUAACUCCGUGCCA